GGGUGAAUAAUGCCUAGGAAAUUGCCCUGAUGUGGGGGAUAACCAUUGGAAACGUGGCUAAUACCGCAUGAUGCCUACGGGCCAAAGAGGGGGACCUUCGGGCCUCUCGCGUCAGGAUAUGCCUAGGUGGGAUUAGCUAGUUGGUGAGGUAAGGGCUCACCAAGGCGACGAUCCCUAGCUGGUCUGAGAGGAUGAUCAGCCACACUGGAACUGAGACACGGUCCAGACUCCUACGGGAGGCAGCAGUGGGGAAUAUUGCACAAGGGCGCAAGCCUGAUGCAGCCAUGCCGCGUGUAUGAAGAAGGCCUUCGGGUUGUAAAGUACUUUCAGUCGUGAGGAAGGUGGUAGUGUUAAUAGCACUAUCAUUUGACGUUAGCGACAGAAGAAGCACCGGCUAACUCCGUGCCAGCAGCCGCGGUAAUACGGAGGGUGCGAGCGUUAAUCGGAAUUACUGGGCGUAAAGCGCAUGCAGUGGUUUGUUAAGUCAGAUGUGAAAGCCCGGGGCUCAACCUCGGAAUUGCAUUUGAAACUGGCAGACUAGGUACUGUAGAGGGGGGUAGAAUUUCAGGUGUAGCGGUGAAAUGCGUAGAGAUCUGAAGGAAUACCCGGUGCGAGGCGGCCCCUGGACAGAUACUGACACUCAGAUGCGAAAGC
This 654-nucleotide ribosomal RNA is filed under the name Vibrio parahaemolyticus. RNAcentral describes it as "bacterial SSU rRNA". It matches the Rfam family "Bacterial small subunit ribosomal RNA", at positions 104 to 760 of the family's 1533-position model. Lineage: Bacteria; Pseudomonadati; Pseudomonadota; Gammaproteobacteria; Vibrionales; Vibrionaceae. The record is from RNAcentral.